RNAcentral lists this ribosomal RNA (253 nucleotides) under uncultured bacterium. RNAcentral describes it as "partial 16S ribosomal RNA". It matches the Rfam family "Bacterial small subunit ribosomal RNA", at positions 524 to 776 of the family's 1533-position model. The record is from RNAcentral.
UACGGAGGGUGCGAGCGUUGUCCGGAAUCAUUGGGCGUAAAGAGCGUGUAGGCGGCUCGAUAAGUCCGCUCUGAAAGCCCGGGGCUCAACCCCGGGAGGCGGGCGGAUACUGUCGAGCUAGAGUCCGGAAGAGGCGAGUGGAAUUCCUGGUGUAGCGGUGAAAUGCGCAGAUAUCAGGAGGAACACCAAUGGCGAAGGCAGCUCGCUGGGACGGUACUGACGCUGAGACGCGAAAGCGUGGGGAGCAAACAGG